GAGUGCGGGAGAAGUAGGCGGAAUUCNUUGUGUAGCGGUGAAAUGCAUAGAUAUAAGGAGGAACACCGGUAGCGAAGGCAGCUUAAUGGACUGUAACUGACGGUCAGGCAAGAAAGCGUGGGGAGCAAACAGGAUUAGAUACCCUGGUAGUCCACGCAGUAAACGAUGAUCGCUGGGUGUUGGGUAGAGACAUUCAGUGCCGGAGCNAACACA
Molecule: ribosomal RNA, 213 nt
Filed under: uncultured Bacillota bacterium
Lineage: Bacteria; Bacillati; Bacillota
Description: uncultured Firmicutes bacterium partial 16S ribosomal RNA
Rfam family: Bacterial small subunit ribosomal RNA
Source: RNAcentral